RNAcentral lists this long non-coding RNA (424 nucleotides) under Physcomitrium patens. Its description in RNAcentral is "long non-coding RNA (PPAT_LNC006635)". The record is from RNAcentral. Lineage: Eukaryota; Viridiplantae; Streptophyta; Bryopsida; Funariales; Funariaceae.
UCGUCCAAACCAAUAGUAAACGCGGCGCACGUGCCCUCGCCCAACGGCCUCUACCCAACCAAUAUGUACAUUUUCUAGCUUUAUAGAAAUGGGUUUGAUAUCCACUCUGGUUGGGUUUUUUGUACGUCGGUCGGUCGAUCCAUCAUGCGGCCUCAUAAGGAAGGCCUCUGUGCAGAACCACAAACGAACUCAAGCAUGCAACAAGAAGAAGAAGAAGAAGAAGAAGAAGCAGCAGAACUCCUCCAGUUGGACUUACUUUUUACUUUUAUUUUCCGGUUUUAGAUCUGAUCAGAAGCGGCUGAAUGUGCACACACUCUGCGACGUAACUGCUGAAAUGAUAAUGCGAGGAGCCAUGAGCGCUGCCGUAUGAUGACCACAAUGAAUCAAAUACCAGGGCCCAAGGUCGCAAAGGUUCGGUGCUGAU